Molecule: ribosomal RNA, 484 nt
Filed under: uncultured bacterium
Lineage: Bacteria
Description: partial 16S ribosomal RNA
Rfam family: Bacterial small subunit ribosomal RNA
Source: RNAcentral
AUUGAACGCUGGCGGCAGGCCUAACACAUGCAAGUCGAGCGGAUGAAGGGAGCUUGCUCCUGGAUUCAGCGGCGGACGGGUGAGUAAUGCCUAGGAAUCUGCCUGGUAGUGGGGGAUAACGUCCGGAAACGGGCGCUAAUACCGCAUACGUCCUGAGGGGGAAAGGGGGGGAGCUUCGGACCUCACGCUAUCAGAUGAGCCUAGGUCGGAUUAGCUAGUUGGGGGGGUAAAGGCCUACCAAGGCGACGAUCCGUAGCUGGUCUGAGAGGAUGAUCAGCCACACUGGAACUGAGACACGGUCCAGACUCCUACGGGAGGCAGCAGUGGGGAAUAUUGGACAAUGGGCGAAAGCCUGAUCCAGCCAUACCGCGUGUGUGAAGAAGGCCUUCGGGUUGUAAAGCCCUUUAGUUGGGAAGGAAGAGCAGUAAGUUAAUACCUUGCUGUUUUGACGUUACCAACAGAAUAAGCACCGGCUAACUUCGUG